UACGUAGGGGGCAAGCGUUGUCCGGAUUUAUUGGGCGUAAAGAGCGUGUAGGCGGCUUGGUAGGUCUGCUGUGAAAACUCGGGGCUCAACCCCGAGACGUCGGUGGAAACCACCUGGCUAGAGUCCGGAAGAGGAGAGUGGAAUUCCUGGUGUAGCGGUGAAAUGCGCAGAUAUCAGGAAGAAUAUCCGUGGCGAAGGCGGCUCACUGGCCCGGUACUGACGCUGAGGUGCGAAAGCGUGGGGAGCAAACAGG
Molecule: ribosomal RNA, 253 nt
Filed under: uncultured bacterium
Lineage: Bacteria
Description: partial 16S ribosomal RNA
Rfam family: Bacterial small subunit ribosomal RNA
Source: RNAcentral